RNAcentral lists this ribosomal RNA (450 nucleotides) under uncultured bacterium. RNAcentral's name for it is "partial 16S ribosomal RNA". It matches the Rfam family "Bacterial small subunit ribosomal RNA", at positions 354 to 796 of the family's 1533-position model. The record is from RNAcentral.
GUGGGGAAUUUUGGACAAUGGGCGCAAGCCUGAUCCAGCAAUGCCGCGUGCAGGAAGAAGGCCUUCGGGUUGUAAACUGCUUUUGUACGGAACGAAACGGUCCGGGUUAAUACCCUGGGCUAAUGACGGUACCGUAAGAAUAAGCACCGGCUAACUACGUGCCAGCAGCCGCGGUAAUACGUAGGGUGCAAGCGUUAAUCGGAAUUACUGGGCGUAAAGCGUGCGCAGGCGGUUUUGUAAGACAGGCGUGAAAUCCCCGGGCUCAACCUGGGAAUUGCGCUUGUGACUGCAAGGCUGGAGUGCGGCAGAGGGGGAUGGAAUUCCGCGUGUAGCAGUGAAAUGCGUAGAUAUGCGGAGGAACACCGAUGGCGAAGGCAAUCCCCCGGGCCUGCACUGACGCUCAUGCACGAAAGCGUGGGGAGCAAACAGGAUUAGAUACCCCUGUAGUCC